GGGAAUUAGCUCAGCUGGUAGAGCAUCUGCUUUGCAAGCAGAGGGUCAGGGGUUCGAGUCCCCUAUUCUCC
RNAcentral lists this transfer RNA (71 nucleotides) under bovine gut metagenome. It matches the Rfam family "tRNA". Rfam says of the family: Transfer RNA (tRNA) molecules are approximately 80 nucleotides in length. Their secondary structure includes four short double-helical elements and three loops (D, anti-codon, and T loops). The record is from RNAcentral.